CCUCUUCGUCGGCACAGUANGAAUUGCUCUUUGCUCGGAUCUGGAUAGCAUAUAAAAUUCAAAAUAUAGUAGGUAUCAUCAGAAAAAAUAGAGAAGAAAAUGCAGAUGCCGACAAUUUCUAUGAUUUUCACAAAAAAGAAAAUUCCUAAAAGAACUUUUUGUUCUUCAUCGGAUCUAUAAUUUUUCUAAUGAAUUUGUUCUUCAUCGGAUCUAAUAGCAUAUAAAAGUCGCUGUAAGAAAAAGUAUACCAAGGUUAGCUUAAAGUCAGAAAAUCAACUAUUAUAAAUAUAUACGCGACGAAAAAUAUUAUAUUACCUGUAUUUUGUUCUUCAUCGGAUCUACCUGGAUCUUAGUCUUCCCCAUUAAGAUUUUCACCAAAAGCGCGGGAGAAAUUUUGGGAGGAACUGUGAAUAUUGAGGGAAAGAAUGAAAGAAUGGGGAGAUAUUUUUUUUGAAAGGUGAAAGAAUGGGGAGAUAUACAGAGACACAGAUGUAAACGUAAAGAGAGAGAAAAAUAAAAUGAGCAGUAAAUAAAGUGAUGUAUACUGUGUAAGUACUCUUUUGCGUGAAAAGGCGGAAACAAUUAAUGAUUUCACGUGAUGCCUUCCAUGCUGCAAACAAAGUUCAUCCUUUACAGAUGAUAAUAAAAGAUAAAAAAAAAAAUACUAUGAAAUGCAAUUUGGCG
Molecule: long non-coding RNA, 684 nt
Filed under: Salvia miltiorrhiza (redroot sage)
Lineage: Eukaryota; Viridiplantae; Streptophyta; Magnoliopsida; Lamiales; Lamiaceae
Description: long non-coding RNA (SMIL_LNC005331)
Source: RNAcentral